This 253-nucleotide ribosomal RNA is filed under the name uncultured bacterium. RNAcentral's name for it is "partial 16S ribosomal RNA". It matches the Rfam family "Bacterial small subunit ribosomal RNA", at positions 524 to 776 of the family's 1533-position model. The record is from RNAcentral.
UACGGGGGGGGCAAGCGUUGUUCGGAAUUACUGGGCGUAAAGGGCUCGUAGGCGGCCAACUAAGUCAGACGUGAAAUCCCCAGGCUCAACCUGGGAACUGCGUCUGAUACUGGAUGGCUUGAAUCCGGGAGAGGGGAGCAGAAUUCCAGGUGUAGCGGUGAAAUGCGUAGAUAUCUGGAGGAAUACCGGUGGCGAAGGCGGCAUCCUGGGCCGGCAUUGACGCUGAGGAGCGAAAGCCUGGGGAGCAAACGGG